This 477-nucleotide ribosomal RNA is filed under the name uncultured bacterium. Its description in RNAcentral is "partial 16S ribosomal RNA". It matches the Rfam family "Bacterial small subunit ribosomal RNA", at positions 29 to 507 of the family's 1533-position model. The record is from RNAcentral.
AUUGAACGCUGGCGGCAUGCCUUACACAUGCAAGUCGAACGGUAACAGGUUAAGCUGACGAGUGGCGAACGGGGGAGUCAUGUAUCGGAACGUGCCCAGUCGUGGGGGAUAACUGCUCGAAAGAGCAGCUAAUACCGCAUACGACCUGAGGGUGAAAGCGGGGGAUCGCAAGACCUCGCGCGAUUGGAGCGGCCGAUAUCAGAUUAGGUAGUUGGUGAGGUAAAGGCUCACCAGGCGGACGAUCUGUAGCUGGUCUGAGAGGACGACGAGCGACACUGGGAGUGAGACACGGCCCAGACUCCUACGGGAGGCAGCAGUGGGGAAUGUUGGACAAUGGGCGCAAGCCUGAUCCAGCCAUGCCGCGUGCGGGAAGAAGGCCUUCGGGGUGUAAACCGCUUUUGUCAGGGAAGAAAAGGUUCUGGCUAAUACCUGGGACUCAUGACGGUACCUGAAGAAUAAGCACCGGCUAACUACGUG